Molecule: RNA transcript, 7559 nt
Organism: Ictalurus punctatus (channel catfish)
Lineage: Eukaryota; Metazoa; Chordata; Actinopteri; Siluriformes; Ictaluridae
Gene name: magnetosome-associated protein MamJ
Exons: 4
Source: RefSeq, a predicted model, not a curated record
AUUAUUAUUAUUAUUAUUAUUAUUAUUGUCGUCAUUAUCAUUAUUAUUAUUAACUAUUCUUAUUAUUAUGACAAAGAAGUAAAUAUGUUUUUCCGUUUAUUUUUUUAUUCAGCUCUUUUACUUUGUGAAUAAAUUAGUGUGUGAGUAUCUCACCAUUAUGUCACCAUGACCUCCUUAAGCAGUAUCUUAGAGAUUUGCCCACCUUCCCCCCGCUUUGCACAAGAUUUGAAUUUCAUCAACCGUUUUCUGAGCACUUUCAGUUUCAUUUUUACAUCACGUCUGCACGACUCGUAAACGACUUUAUUGUCAGCCACGCUAAUCUUGUAGUUCUAGAGCAAAUAAUAAUACAAGUGAAAACAUAAAAAAGCUUAAACAGACUGGACGCUAAACACACCUUGGUUUAUGGACAUUAUUUGAGAUCUACCGGCUGGAAUUAUUUGGCUAUGCAGAAGUCUAAUUUCACCACACGACAACACCACAAACAUCAGGUGGAGUCAGUAGAGUCAUGGAGUUGGAGGCCAAUCAAAUCCCACAGUAGCCACCUACUCUGCCGUGGAUGCCACUACACCCAGGUUCUAUAUGGACAUUGCUACAUUUUCCCGUGCCACUGAGGACAUCGCUCCUGCUCCGCUGAGGACGUCGCUCCGCCUUCCUGCUCCGCUGAGGACGUCGCUCCGCCUUCCUGCUCCGCUGAGGACGUCGCUCCGCCUUCCUGCUCCGCUGAGGACGUCGCUCCGCCUUCCUGCUCCGCUGAGGACGUCGCUCCACAUUCAAGAAAGGCCAACGAGAUGGCCCACCAAGUCAAGCCCCGUCUAAAGCUUAUGACAUAACUUCCAAAGCCUGGAUCACGCCUAACAACCCCGGCAAACCAGCCCCAGCCUCAUGUCUGCUCCUUGGCUCCUUGGGAAACCUGCAACUUGUUGGACAAUUAUUGCAUUGGAACCUGAGGGGCUGUGUGAACAUUUUGCCCAGAGGGCCAGGACCGCCGGGGGAGGGAGUGUAUUUUGCUACUUCAGGAGAAGCGUCUUUGGGGGGGCGGGGGGCGGGGGCGGGGGGGGCGGGGGGUGAGGGUUACGGUUCAGUCAUAUCACAGCAAACCAGUGACUACAUUUCCCAUACUGCACGGCGGCCUACAAACAUGGCUGCCAUGGACUGCAAUUCCCAGAACACUCACACACAUACACACACACACACACACACACACACACACACACACACACACACACAGAACACUCAUUCUAAUCACACACACCUGCAUCCAAUCUCACACACACUCACAACCACAGUAUAUGAGAGACUUUUAAGGCCCCUGACAUCAGACAGUCUGAACUGUUAGUUGUUAUUGUAUUCUGGUUAUAGUCAUUAAAGUACAGAUUGCUCAAUGCUGGCUGAGGGAAAUUCCCAAAAUACCAGAAAUCCAUUUUGGCACUGUAAUUCUCUGUAAUUAAUUACUCAACCACAUUCUGAUAUGCCAAAAUAUCAGAGGAUCUUGAAUCAGUGGAAUUUACACCCAUUUUAUAUUAUUAGCAGAAACAAGGCUGGGAAAUAAAACAUAAUGAAGGAGGAAAGAUGCAUUGACCAAACUCUUAUACCAAUGCAGUGAACCAGAUAUAGUGAUAGGUGAAACUUAAAUGACAGUUGAAUUUAUUUUAAAACACAGGUGGACCUCAUGCUGCAGCUUAGAGAACAGCUGUAUAAAAAAGAUCACAAGCCCAUUACUUCACAGUAUGGCACUCAAGCAUAAUGCCCAGCCUAUGCAACUGAGUCAUCCAAAUGAGCCAGACAGCAUUUUCUGCAGUGUUUUAGAGUCAAGCCUUGCUUGACUUCCCAUAUCUCCACCGGGGAUCUCUUUUAUCCUGAGCCUGUCUGUACACAUAUGCUGUGGACAACAAAAGAUUCAUUGCAAAGUUUAUUUUGAUUUCUAUCAGAAGAGACAACUGAGCAUUUAAAGAAUAAGUGAGUGUGACUUACUUUUCAAAGCUGGUUCCUCUUUCACCACAUAAUGAGUGAUAAAACAGCCACAAGCCAAAUCACCAAGAACUUUCCCCAACAUUACCAUCACCCACGUGUCCAGUGUUCGGAAGUUAGUGCUCUGGAGGGUGGGGGUAGCCAGAUGAGAAUUCUCCUAGACCUGGAAAAUGUGAUAUAGAAGAAUUAUAUUUAAGAAUAAGAAUAAUAUUUAAGUAUAUUUGCCUCCCCAAUACUGUUGUGUCAGUUAAUUGGUCACAUGUUUUCAUAGCUUUUUAAUUAUGACUACAGUAUAAAGAUAAAGAAAUCUUUAUUGUCACCAUUCUUGCGUACAACAAAAUUUAGUAACACAGUACACAGAAGUAAUAUGUUGGUUGUUACUAUAUACAUCUGGAUCUAAUGCCCUACAGAGCUAUGCAGGGGUGCAUACAACAAUUUGGUGUGAAAAAAAACAACAACAUGAUUUUCUCUUUCUCACUCUCGGACAACCACACACACACACACACACACACACACACACACACACACACACACACACACACACACACACAAUCAAUUCCUAAUCUAAUGUAAUGUAAAGAUGUAAGAUGUAAUUAUUAAUAAAAAAAAAGGGGGGGAUAUAUUCAGAAGUCUGUAUUUUUAAUGUGUUUUAAAGACAUCUUGAAAAAGGGGGGCCUCGGUCAAAUGUUAAUGCCAUUUGAGGGGCCUCGCCCUGGAAAAGUUUGGGAACCCUUGCUCUAACACACGGUCUUAUUUGUCUGAACUUGUCCAGGCAUGUUCGCUGGGCAGGGGGAGGGUACUUUUAAUCCUGAACUCAAGUUGGAGAAAAAUUAAGUUAGCAAGCCAAUUUCAUUGUUACUACAACUUAAAUUUUGCUUUAAAUCAAUUAAAGCAGAAAUUUCAGUUUCAGUGACACACAAUAUUAAGUUGAUGUAAUUAUCAACAUUAUGUCAACACAACUCAUCAAAAAUAAUGUUUUCAAAUUAAAAGGUUUAAUUAAAUCAAUAAAUUUGAAAUUUUGUCUUGCGACCACGCACUUAAAUAAGUUGUGGUAAUAGGUCCUCUGAAUUACUUUUUAAAGUAUGUAAGGACGAGGUUAAACCAGGAUUUUUCUCCAGAUGCCUGGUAGUUUUUGUACAACCCUGUAUAUACACACGCCAGUUUAUAGGCACAAUACAAUAAUUCAGUAAUUAAGAUGUUGCCUUAAACCUAAACCUAAACAUAAACAUAAACCUAAUUAUCUUGUUCCCUCAUGUUACUAAAUUUUGUCCAUGAAAGGGAUGUUGCGGAGCUUGAUAGAUUGCUUAUUAUAAAAUAAUUAUAUAAGCUUAUAAAAUUGGUACUGCAUCACAGACAAGCAGAACUAAAAGAGAAUAUCAGAACUUCAUGCUAUAGCUGCUAUAAUGGAAGUGAACGAAUGCACUAUCUUUACUCUCACUAGCAAACAUGUAUAAAUCUAUGUAUAUGAGCUAUGUAUAAAUCAACACUUAGCUGCACCUAACUGUUGACACAGGAAGUAUAAUUCUGAUAGCUUUAUAUUAUUAUUUUACAGUACAAGGCAGAGAACGGGGAGAGAAGGAUUUUUUUCUUCUUCUUUUAAACAAGUUAAGCAGCUUGACCCUGGUCAUGGUGUGUUCUGAGAUACACAUAAAAUGUACUGAGACAAAAGGGGUGAAAAAAAAGAACAUUAAACUAACAAAAGUGUGUGUGUGUGUGUGUGUGUGUGUGUGUGUGUGUGUGUGUGUGUGUGUGCGUGCUCUUGUGCAUGUGUGUGUGUGUUGGAGCGAUAUGGAGAAAUAUGAGUUAUACCCUUAUUUGACCUAUUUCUGAGAGUGUGUGAUUACCAGAGAGGCAAACAAAACUGGCAACACGAUAGCUGAUUUAGCUGACAAGAUUGGAGAGCUGUGUAGAGACUUUUAGAAGGACAGGUGCUCAAAGUUGAAAAGGGGUGCAUGGAUCAAGAUGUUAGAACACCAACUACUACAACACAACAGCUCAGAUUUUAAUUUCAACUGGCAGAUGAGGACAUGAAAUUACUAAUCUUAGUAGGUAAGUAAGUAAGUAAAUUUUAUUUAUAUAGCACAUUAAACGCAGCAAACCUGGACAACGUGCUGAACAGAGUAAGAAAAAGUUAAAUAGAAAACAGAGUAAAACCAAAUAGAGACAGACAAUAAACAAUAGAUCAAAUUUGAUAAAAACGCCUGGGAGAAGAGAUAUACUUUCAGCCACUUUUUAAAAAUGAUAAUAGAAGUUGCAAAGCAGAUGUCCAGAGGUAAUUGAUUUUUCAUGUUUCAUGCUUUUUGUCAAUUUUUUUUACUGAUAAAUCAUUGUCUGUUGAGGUAUAUUACAGAAGAUUCCUCUGAAAACAGGCUUUCCUAUUCAUGAACGUUAUCAUUUACAUCAUUUGAAUUAAUUAAAACAUGAAGGCUGAUUGCGUUGCCAUCUAAAGUGAAAAUAUAAUGCGCAUCCUUUUCAAUCAUAUGUCCCGCCCACUCACUGUGCUCCUCCUCCCGUCACUUUUCCCCAUGGAAACCUUGACUUGCAACUCGAUUUUGCUGCAGCUUUUUUUGUUUCUUCAAAAUUUUCAAUGCAACUUGUGGGGUUUUUUUCCCCUUUUUUUUGCAGAAAACCUCUUGAAUUGGCGAACUUGAAAUUGCACGAAUUUGUUUAGCAUGGUCAAUCAAAGUCAUGUUUCUUUGUACAUGAGACCUUUUAGCUGUACUCACGUUUGAUGCAUGUGAACCAAAGAGAGCUCUGGCUGAAUGUGCAUUGUGAUGAUGUCACAUGGCGCGACUUGGCCCAAAUCUGCGCAAAAUCUGCGGUAAUUUAGAAAAAUUGCAAAUUCCUCAGAAUAUUUUGGAGCUUGCUUGAUUUUGCUUCAUUUCUCUGAUCGCAAAUUUGCAAAAUCCUGGAAUGACUGUUAUCGCUGUGUUAAUGUGUAGUGUGUGAGUAGUGUGUAAAUUUGUAUUUUGUUGAAUGAGGACAUCCUGUUUUUUAGUUGAAUGAGGACAUCCAGAUCUAAUUUACUUGGCAGAGAUAUGAUCAAUGACGUUAGCUUGUUAACUGCUAAAAGAAUGCUUUUAUUUAUCCUGAUGGGUACGAACAUAUUUCAUUCCAAGAGGUGGCAAAGGGAGAGAAGAGCAUCAUCAGUCAGGUAAGGUAGACAACAGAGACAAACAUUGUAUUUGAAUGAUCUACAUUUCACUGCAGAAUUUCAUUUCACUACCCCUCAGAUCAAUUCUUUAUAACCUGGACCUUAAUCUGCAAUCACAAGACCAACAAAUUACCCAGAUAUGGUAAAAAUGAUGUGAGGGAAAUUAUUAACUUCUUACUUUGUAAUAGCUCUGUUCAUGUUCAUUAGUGAAGAAUGCCACUUGUGGUCAUGUCUUGGAGAUUAGCCCAGAACGUUCUUUCCUCUUACACUGACGCAGUUUAUUGUCUCCAGGAAUGUCUGCACAUCCGCUAAAACCUUGAAACCACCAAACUGGCCCCCAACCUCAUAGAACUCCUAGAAUUUUUCGAGACUCGCAAAUGUCCAGCUCUCCUUAUCUUAAAACUUAUAUAGGGCAUGUGAGAGAGGAGUGCUUCAGAACGCUCUCAUCUUCUACCCUGCAUUCUUCUAUCCUGCAUUCUUCUACCGUUUUCUUCUACCCUGCUUUCUUCUACCCUGCUUUCUUCUGCCCUGCAUUCUUCUAUCCUGUAUUCAUCCUUCUGAAAUAAACCUUUUUCACCUGAGAGGACGAGUCUACUGGUGUUUGUCUAAAUUUCUACCACAAUGUCAAAGCAUUAACCCUUUCACACUUAAGUUUAAAAUAUUCCAACUGGGCCUUGGCGUGAAGUUUUUAAAAUGUAUUUAUUAUUAUUAUUAUUAUUUUUUAAUAUGACCUUUAUUUUUGAACUAUUGCAUUCAGUAGCCUGGUUUAGUAACCAGCACUUUACAGUAAAUUUAAAUACACAGCUGCCCAUAGUACUUCAUUACUUCCUGUUUUUUCUUUCUUCCAGCAACCUCACAUCUCUCUCUAUCAGACAUGCAAACCCACACUCUCACAAUAGAUACUUACUCUUGGGUUUUUUGAUUAACACAUGCCUUCCUGCACUGCUUGUGAAGACAGCCUGAGCCUCUUUUGAUCUUUUUCUAGAACAGCUUUUAAUAUACAGCUGCAGGAAAUAUUGCUGCCCAUUUUUCCUUCCUACCAAAAGCUUUUUGUCUUUGCUAUUCGCAAUACUCAAAAGGAAAUAACCUAAUUUGACUUCCUUAUACACUAUACCACAUUGACUUCUGAGCUGCUCUUGUAAACUGAACUUGGUCUCGUAUUUGCUAAACUGAACUUGGUCUUGUAAUUGUUAAACUGAACUUGGUCUCGUAUUUGCUAAACUGAACUUGGUCUUGUAAUUGCUAAACUGACUUUCUCAUGCUGAUUUCUCCUUGUGAUAUUUUUCUCCCAUUCAGACAGAAAAGAGGAAGUUGGAGAUGGGCUUGAAUCAACUCAAAACAUUUCUUUAUUUUCCCUUUUCCGCUGUUCAGCAUUUUCACACACAUACACACACAGACGUGCUUAUACUGAUCAAGAUGCAAGAUGGUGCCAGUGUAUCUGUCAGCAUGCUGUCGUUCUUGUCUUUCCCGUGUAUUACAGUUUGUUGUAUCUGUUGUCUGUUCAUCUGGCAUCUGUGCUGUUUUUACUUUUCGUCGUGCCACACUGGUAUCGUAUAGACUCAGUGUUGACCUAUGAUCGUCAAGCUUUGCUCAACAUCAAAAGCUGUAUGGUAGCUCAUCUGGGAUUUGGUCCUGCUCUGCAUUCUCAUUGUCAAUCCUCAUCUUGCCAACCCGCAUCGGAGUGCGCUCGCUGGCUACCUUGCUGUGUUCCUCCUCUAAGGAAAGUGCCACAGGAAGAGAGGGAAUCAUGGUGGUGUUUGGGUGAGAAUCAGUUCCUCCAUUCAAUCGAGUUUGUUUACUAUAAGCUUGGAGGGACUCAACUUGAUGGAAGCGAUUGCUCAUGGGAUUACAGAUAUGUUUUUCAUCUGACUAUUUCCCCAGAUUUCCUACACUCAUCUAAUUGCUCUGUUCCUCCACGAUUACGGAUUCGUCAUAGAGGAGUAGACUGUUUAAAUCUCUGCCAACUGGAAUGCGUUCAACCGGAUCUGGCCUCGUUACCUCAGUCUCCUCUGAAUAUGACCCUAGUUAAUGCUAGGUCUGUGUGCAACAAAAUGUUUAUUUGAUAUGACUUUUAUAGCAUGAGUUAUAGCAUGGGAGCAGCAGUGAGACAUCAAGAACCAUCCCUGAACAAAGGGCUACGUGACUGUAUUUAGCAUUCAGAAAGACAUCUGUCUCGCAAGCUCUACCACCUCAACAUUUGGGGUUACACCUGUAACAACAUCUGUACUGUGAGAACGGAAAGCGAUCACAUCAAAUGCUAUCCUUAAUUUACGUUGAGAAUGAAACUUCAUUUACAUUACAAACAGAAAACCUGGUUUGAAACACAGUAUAAAAUGUCUGUGCUGAUACUGUUCGGAGUUCACUUUGACGCCGACGAACCCAAAGUGCUUCAUGUACUUUGUCCCUUCCAUGCUGUAAUAAAGUUCUUUUUCUUUGA